Molecule: ribosomal RNA, 119 nt
Filed under: Pteropus alecto (black flying fox)
Lineage: Eukaryota; Metazoa; Chordata; Mammalia; Chiroptera; Pteropodidae
Source: RNAcentral
GGCUACGACCAUGCCACCCUGAACAAGCCCGAUCCCGUCUGAUCUCGGAAGCUAAGCAGGGUCAGGCCUGGUUAGUACUUGGAUGGGAGACCACCUAGGAAGACCUGGUGCUGUAGGCG